GACGAACGCUGGCGGCGUGCCUAAUACAUGCAAGUUGAGCGCUGAAGGUUGGUACUUGUACCGACUGGAUGAGCAGCGAACGGGUGAGUAACGCGUGGGGAAUCUGCCUUUGAGCGGGGACAACAUUUGGAAACGAAUGCUAAUACCACAUAAAAACUUUAAACACAAGUUUUAAGUUUGAAAGAUGCAAUUGCAUCACUCAAAGAUGAUCCCGCGUUGUAUUAGCUAGUUGGUGAGGUAAAGGCUCACCAAGGCGAUGAUACAUAGCCGACCUGAGAGGGUGAUCGGCCACAUUGGGACUGAGACACGGCCCAAACUCCUACGGGAGGCAGCAGUAGGGAAUCUUCGGCAAUGGACGAAAGUCUGGCCGAGCAACGCCGCGUGAGUGAAGAAGGUUUUCGGAUCGUAAAACUCUGUUGGUAGAGAAGAACGUUGGUGAGAGUGGAAAGCUCAUCAAGUGACGGUAACUACCCAGAAAGGGACGGCUAACUACGUGCCAGCCGCCGCGGUAA
This 512-nucleotide ribosomal RNA is filed under the name uncultured bacterium. RNAcentral's name for it is "partial 16S ribosomal RNA". It matches the Rfam family "Bacterial small subunit ribosomal RNA", at positions 28 to 523 of the family's 1533-position model. The record is from RNAcentral.